This is a non-coding RNA of Pelobates cultripes (western spadefoot toad), 494 nucleotides long. The record is from the annotation of a GenBank genome assembly. NCBI's taxonomy places the organism in Eukaryota, Metazoa, Chordata, Amphibia, Anura, Pelobatidae.
CAUACAUAAACUGAGGCUGUGUCUCCAUAGUAACUCGUACAUAUGGCCUAUAGUGGACACAUAUACUGAGGCCAUGUCCUCAUAGUAAUUCAUACACAGAGCAUAUAGUGCAUACAUAAACUGAGGCUGUGUCUCCAUAGUAACUCGUACAUAUGGCCUAUAGUGGACACAUAUACUGAGGCCAUGUCCUCAUAGUAAUUCAUACACAGAGCAUAUAGUGCAUACAUAAACGGAGGCUGUGUCUCCAUAGCAACUCAUACAUUUAUCAUAUAGUGGAUACCUAUACUGAGGCUGUGUCCUCACAGUAACUCAUACAUAGAGCAUAUAGUGCAUACAUAAACUGAGGCAGCGUCCUCAUUGUAACUCAUACAUAGAGCCUAUAAUGGAUACAUAUACUGAGGCUCUCUCCAUAGAAACUCACACAUAGAGCAUAUAGUGGACACAUAUACUGAGGCUGUGUCUCAAUAGAAACUCAUAUAUAUAUCUCAUAUAUA